CACCCUUCAAACCUCUUUGGUUUGAUGUUGGGCGAGGCCCGUGAAGGGCCCGCCUUAAAGUCAGUGACGGUGAACCAUCCACCUCGGGCGUACAAGUAUCGCGAUGUUGGCGGUGGUGAAUCGGUCGAUUUUUAUAUUAUUUUCUAAA
Molecule: unclassified non-coding RNA, 148 nt
Filed under: uncultured Ascomycota
Lineage: Eukaryota; Fungi; Ascomycota
Description: sequence contains ITS2
Source: RNAcentral